ACUAGUCCAAUGGGGGAAGGGUGGCUCUCCCUUUUAAAGUGGCUUCCUCCUCCCAAGUUAAGCGAGGUGGGAUAAUUCUGAGGCUCACACGAUCGCCGUCCGACUACAAUUGGGCCAACUGGGCCAAUUGCGUCUUUGCCAACGGGUAAUAGUGGAGGAUGUCCUCAUCAUUCCCACCUUCUUAAAAUGGGCCCUAGCUUUGAUACCAGAUGAUACACCCAGCCCAGGUGGGGUUGGCCGAGGCCCAACAAAUUAGGGUUGCCCGGAGCCCAACAGUUCAUCAAGCACACCUAACUCAGGGAAAGGCCCAAUCGCCCCAAAAGAUUAGUCCAAUGGGGGAAGGGUGGUUCUCCCUUUUAAAGUGGCUUCCUCCUCCCAAGUUAAGCGAGGUGGGAUAAUUCUGAGGCUCACACGGUCGACGUCCGACUACAAUUGGGCCAACUGGGCCAAUUGCGUCUUUGCCAACGGGUAAUAGUGAAGGAUGUCCUCAUCAGCGAGUGUAGCAUGUACCCUCCAUGGCAAGAGGCUGGACGGUGGUGUAUCUGUGCUCUCGGUUGGCGUGAACCUGAUCUAGUCUUAAGAACCCCGGUGGCGAGUUGACAUAUGCAAGGGUUAAGUGCUACAUAUGUCGUGUGAUUGGAGAUCCCCAUCUGGGUAUUAAUCGAUUCAGGAUCGCCGUUACUUCUCGGAUAUGAAGACUUGGUCACUGCCCUGCAAUCUAAGUCAUUGAUGGAAUCUUAAUGAGCAAAAAUCAUGUUGGAUUGAUUAAUGUGAUGGUGAAAUUAGACUAGAUGCAAACAAGGUCUAUUAAUACUUAAUCUAGCAUUAAAAUAUUGAAAGUAAGGACUCACUUUAGUAAGCUAUUUCUGCAAAAGUAUCUAAGUUGAUUCUUGCUAAAGCCUUUUCCUUGAUUCCUAUUUAACCAGCAAUUCUUGAGAGUCUUUUCUUUAGUCGGGUAAGUCUUGCUGAGUACUUGCGUACUUAGGGUUUUACCCAUUGUUGCUGCAGGUGAUGAGAACAUAACCCGCACAGAUAUGACCAUGUUAAUGCCUCCUGCUACAAAGACAUUGAGGAACAAAGAAGUUGAUUGGGGACCAAGUAAUGAUAUUUCCAACAUUUCCAUCAAAGCAAGCACAUCAUCAAAUUUAAAGAUAUACUUGGGUCAGGAGCACACACUAGAGUCGAGGACGACUCUAUUACAAGAAGUGGAGGAUGGUGAGGACAUCACUGCCAUCAAUACACCACACAGUGACCCCCUUCACCAUUAAAAAAUGGACUAGUGAACCGAGUCCGUGCACGUAAAUUUAAUUAUCAGUUGAACUCGUUCCUUGUUGUUGAAGCUAAUCAUUUCUUAAAUGAGGUACUAAUACCUUGUGAUUACUUUAUUAUGCUAAGGUGUUUGGGAGGUGAACCAUCUAGAAUUUGAGAAGGCAACAAAGCAAUAAAAGCUGCUCCACUUGAGGGGAUUUCGAAACUACAACAAGUGCAAGUUUAAGAGGGCAUAUCUUUCAGCUUCCAAGGUUGUUUAAUGCAAAUAAGCACUUGUUGGAAAGGUCUCUUUGUCUACUUUCUAGUAGAUCAAGAGUCAAGGAGAGAACGCAUCCAAGGCGUCCAGGAACGGCCGAGACAACUUCAUGACUCCACCAGCCCGAGUGAUUUCGUAACUGCAAGCUCUAAAUUAAAUGGAGCAUAUCUUUCAACUCCCAAGGUUGUUUAAAGCAAAUAAGCACUUGUUGGAAAGGUCUCUUCGUCUACUUUCUAGUGGAUCAAGAAUCAACGAGAGAUCAUACACUAAGCGUCCAGAAAGUACCGAGUGAACUCCUGCUCUACCCAAGUCAAUUUCGUAACUGCAGCAUGCACCAAAUUAAAUGGAGCAUAACUUUCCACUCCCAAGGUUGUUUAGUGCAAAUAACUACUUUUUGGAAAGCUCUCUUCGUCUACUUUCAGGUGCAUCAAGAAUCAAUGACAGAAACCAAACGAGGCGUCCAGAAACUGCCGAGAGAGUUUCGUUCUCCAUUAGAACUCCUUUCUAUUCCUCUAUUUAAGCAACUAGCAGCCACCAAAGAACUUGGGUUUUUGUUUGAUGUAAGUUUAUCCUUUGCUACUUCCUUGUAAACGCGUGUGUCGGCUAGACCACCCGGACACUUGAAACAGAACCCCAACUCUAUCAGAUCCGUGCGCGUCUGCGUUUUAUCUUGUUCUUGCUUGUUCUCGAUUGCUUGCAGGUUCAAUGCUGUUCUUGGCAUGGCAAGAGCAGCAACAACAGGAGCCGGUGUAACUCUCGCUAAGGCGCAGCACCCUUGUGGUUGUUGUAGUCGGAUAGCACAAUGUCGACCUCGACCCCAAAUCGUAGUUAUCAGGAGACGGUGUACCUGUCGCUCAAGGCGCCACACCAUCUUGGUUGUCGUAGUCGGGCAACCAACGUCGUUCUCCAACAAGUUUUCCACCUCCAUCAUCUCUCAUCAAAAGAUCGGGCACCCUUCUACCCGUUGGGUUUAUCAAGUGGUAUCAAUUUCAGGUUACUCGGUGAGAGAUCUCAAUCUUCGGUGAGAGCCCAAAGAUAUAUUUAGAGCAGAAAUUCACCUAAAAACAGUUUGAGCCUUUGAUUUACUACUUAGUUUUCGACUUGUUGAAUUCACAGUUGCUGCAUUUGGGUCGAGUUGCUGGUUUAAAGUUUUCUUACCGCUAAAGUUUCGAGUUCGCGCCACCUUGUUUUCAAUCACCUGUUUAGACCUCUUGCUGCAAUUCAACCAAAAAAGAAGAGAAAGCAAAAGGCGAGUGCAUAAAAAAAGCCGCACUAAUCAGCAAAACAAAAAAAGACACGUGCAAAAAAAGAGAGAGAGAGAGAAAAACCAGUUCUGAAUUUUGGUAGAUAAAAUUUGUAAGUGCGACAAAACAAAAGGCAGUUUGUGUACCUUCUUUUUAUAGUUUCAGAAAUCCGAUUGCUGUUCUGAGCUUUUGGUGAUACUAUUUGUGUAACGGCUCGUGUCUCUAUUACGGUUUGGACUAGGACCAGCACAACACCAUUGUAGAAUGUUUAUUCAACUUGUUGUGGCUAACGUGGUACUAGCUAUUCCUUGGAACUAUUGAAAUUGCAGCUACCUAUAAAUCCACAAAAAUUUCUACAACACCACCAGGUUGUGCUAGCUGCCACCGUUGUUGUUGUUCUUGCUGUUUGCCGGCACCUCCUGUAUUGCAUGGUGAGAAUUUGUAAGAACUUGCUUAACAAGUUUGAGAAUGAGAGAUUACAACAAUGAUUCCUAGUAGUUUAUAGGAUCAAAUAUAUUUUUAUUGUUUUCUUGUCUUUACUAAACAUGGCAGGUGAUAUGGAGAUUUUUGAGCCAACUGAACAUUAUAUUCAAGGCAUCAUUCGACACUUGCCUUCAUAUACCGGUAAAUUUGAUCCUCAUGCAUACAUUGAUUGGGAGCUAAAGGUAGAUAAGGAAUUUGAUAAGCAUGAUCUAUCUCAAAAACAAAAGAUUUAUAUUACCUCUAAUUUGUUAACUGAGCACACAUUGAUGGAAUGGAAAUACAUUUGUAGGCACAACAAAGUUCCACAAUCUUGGGAAGACUUCAAACUUCAUUUUAGAGAUGCAUUCAUUCCUGCAUACUAUGCUGAUCAUUUGCUUUCUAAAUUAGACACCUUAAAGCAGGGUGCUAGGACUGUGAAAGAUUAUUAUUAUGAUUUUAAAAUUUGUACCAUGUUUGCUCGUUUAGAUGAAUGCAUGGAAGAUGUAAUGACUAGGUUCAUGAAAGGACUCAAUUCUGAAAUUCAAACUAUAGUCAUGCAUGAAGCAUACAAACACAUUUCUCACUUGUUUUUGCUUGCAUGUAAAGCUGAAAAUGAGAUUCUAUUAUACAAUUAUACAAGCACUGAACAUGUGAGCCAUAGUUCCUCUUUUGCAUCUGCUCUACAUGCUGAUCAAGAACACAAAAUAAUGAAACCAGCUAUUGUUUUUCCAUCAUCACAAGAAGAAUUGAUUGCUGACACUUGUGAUAGUGAAGAUUUGUGGGAUAAUGAUUCACAUGUACUAAGGCAACAACUAGUAAAUGAACAUGUUACAUCUGUUAUUGAACCAAACAUUUUGGCUAAAAAGGAACAUGUAAUUUGUAUUGCAAACGAAACUGAAGAAAUAAAUUUGCUCUCUUCUAUAAAUACUUGGGGCUAUAUUGAGUUUGAUGAUCUUUUUGAGCUCGGUAAUUUGGAAAAUAUUUUAUUUGCUAGAUCAACUAUACCUUGUCCUUCUCAUGUUAUAUUUUAUAUUGCUGACAAGUACAACAACAUAGGACAAUUUCUUGUGCAUAGAAUUUCUAUUUCAUCUAGAUAUGUUGUUUCUUCACUUUGUGCAAAUAAGAUAUUGGUAUGUUCUCAAGAAGAAAAGAAUCUCUUGUUUCCAUGUACUUUAGUAGAAGUUUCAGGUUUAUAUUUGAAAGAAAUUAAUAAAAGUUUGGUCAUCAACAUCAAUCAUGAUGCAAAACCGAGGACGGUUUGUUGUCAAGAAGGGGAGAAUGAUGAGAACAUAACCCGCACAGAUAUGACCAUGUUAAUGGCUCCUGCUACAAAGACAUUGAGGAACAAAGAAGUUGAUUGGGGACCAAGUAAUGAUAUUUCCAACAUUUUCAACAAAGCAAGCACAUCAUCAAAUUUAAAGAUAUACUUGGGUGAGGAGCACACAAUUGAGUCGAGGACGACUCUAUUACAAGAAGGGGAGGAUGAUGAGGACAUCACUGCCAUCAAUACACCACACCAGCGACCCCCUUCACCAUUUAAUCAUGGACCAGUGAAACGAGUCCGUGCACAUAAAUUUAAUUAUCAGGUGAACUCGUUCCUUGUUGUUGAAGCUAAUCAUUCCUUAAAUGAGGUACUAAUACCUUGUGAUUACUUUAUUAUGCUAAGGUGUUUGGGAGGUGAACCAUCUAGAAUUUGAGAAGGCAACAAGGCAAUAAAAGCUGCUCCACUUGAGGGGAUUUCGAAACUACAACAAGUGCAAGUUUAAGAGGGCAUAUCUUUCAUCUUCCAAGGUUGUUUAAUGCAAAUAAGCACUUGUUGGAAAGGUCUCUUUGUCUACUUUAUAGUAGAUCAAGAGUCAAGGAGAGAACGCAUCCAAGGCGUCCGGGAAUGGCCGAGACAACUUCAUGACUCCACCAGCCCGAGUGAUUUCGUAACUGCAAGCACUAAAUUAAAUGGAGCAUAUCUUUCAACUCCCAAGGUUGUUUAAAGCAAAUAAGCACUUGUUGGAAAGGUCUCUUAGUCUACUUUCUAGUGGAUGAAGAAUCAACGAGAGAUUAGACACUAAGCGUCCAGAAAGUGCCGAGUGAACUCCUGCUCUACCCUAGUCAAUUUCGUAACUGCAGCAUGCACCAAAUUAAAUGCAGCAUAACUUUCCACUCCCAAGGUUGUUUAGUACAAAUAACUACUUGUUGGAAAGCUCUCUUCGUCUACUUUCAGGUGCAUCAAGAAUCAAUGACAGAAACCAAACGAGGCGUCCAGAAACUGCCGAGAGAGUUUCAUUCUCCAUUAGAACUCCUUUCUAUUCCUCUAUUUAAGCAACUAGCAACCACCAAAGAACUUGGGUUUUUGUUUGAUGUAAGUUUAGCCUUUGCUACUUCCUUGUAAACGCGUGUGUCGGCUAGACCACCCGGAUACUUGAAACAGAACCCCCAACUCUAUCAGAUCCGUGAGCGUCUGCGUUUUAUCUUGUUCUUGCUUGUUCUCGAUUACUUGCAGGUUCAAGGCUGUUCUUGGCACGGCAAGAGCAGCAACAACAGGAGUUGGUGUAACCAUCGCGAAGGCGCAGCACCCUUGUGGUUGUUGUAGUCGGAUAGCACAACGUCGACCUCCACCCCAAAUCGUAGUUAUCAGGAGACGGUGUACCUGUCGCUUAAGGCGCCACACCAUCUUGGUUGUGGUAGUCGGGCAGCCAACGUCGUUCUCCAACAAGUUUUCCACCUCCAUCAUCUCUCAUCGAAAGAUCGGGCACCCUUCUACCUGUUGGGUUUAUCAAGUGGUAUCAAAUUUCAGGUUACUCGGUGAGAGAUCUCAAUCUUCGGUGAGAGCCCAAAGACAUAUUUAGAGCAGAAAUUCACCUAAAAACAGUUUGAGCCUUUGCUUUACUACUUAGUUUUCGACUUGUUGAAUUCACGGUUGCUGCAUUUGGGUCGAGUUGCUGGUUUAAAGUUUUCUUACCGCUAAAGUUUCGAGCUCGCGCCACCUUGUUUUCAAUAACCUGUUUAGACCUCUUGCUGCAAUUCAACCAAAAAAAGAAGAGAAAGCAAAAGGCGAGUGCAUAAAAAAAGCCGCACUAAUCAGCAAAACAAAAAAAGACACGUGCAAAAAAAAGAGAGAGAGAGAGAACCAGCACAACACCAUUGUAGAAUGUUUAUUCAACUUGUUCUCAUACAAGUUUUCCACCUCCAUCAUCUCUCAUCGAAAGAUCGGGCACCCUUCUACCCGUUGGGUUUAUCAGCAGGUCAUGAGUCAUUUUGAUUGUGAUUGGUGUUAAGCGCCGGUGGGCACGACCUUCUUAUAAGUCUAAGUACAUCUUUUAUACUUCUUAUUGAGGAUGGUCACUUAAGCUAGCAUAUAUUUCAAACUUAUAAAUAAUUUAUAACAUUUCAAAGUUUAUUCUUUGAACCACUUUUGUAACCACUCCGAUAAAUAUAAUGUAAAUUUGUUGAAACUUGUAACUUUUUGUAAUAAAGAAAUUCUGCUGCAAAAUGUUAGUGUGUGAUUUGUGUUUACUUAAUCUUGCGAUCUUGGUUGUAAGUGGUUUAUCCGAGGUCCUUGGGACACUCGGACGGAUCCUGUUAAGUUAUUUGGUGCACAUGCAUAGCCGUCUGAGGUCUUUGAGACAAGGACAGGUGCAUGUGGGCCCAAUAACUUGAGAGGUUCUGCCACAUGAGUGAACCUGCCCGCAAAUUGAUCUCCUCACGUGACCUGAGACGUGGACUCCCAUUCCGGUUAUGGUGGGUACAAGUGUGGUCACUGCACGACGGCAGUCGGGGUCUGUGAGGCAUUGUACGUCAAGGCGAUAGGCCUCUUUCUGUUGACAGGGAAUCGAUGGGGACGGUUGAUAUGUGUGGGGUUGGAGUGCCUCGCCACGCCGUGUGUUUAGGUUUACCUUACAAGGUUUAAAAACUCGAUUCGAAUCGUCUGCUUCUCGCAGCUAAUGAGACUGCUUUAUCCAUGCUGCUACAUUGAGUAAUAAGUGGAAAUGAGGUGACUGGCAAAAGAUGUUGAUUGCUAAAAAUGUCUGAUACCAUGUAUGAGUAGCUAGGUACUCAUCUAGUUUAAAAAGGAUCAUACUAAAAUGUGAAAAGCUAAAAAUUGAUUUUAGACUCAGCUAUUGCUUUUUGGCAAACCAAACCCCUCAGCCAAAUAGCUGCAUGUCUAGAGGUAGAGGAAUAGACUCCUCACACCGGGUAACUAUAGCCUUGUAUUAGUAUACUCAACCUUGCUUGUGGCAUAAUUUUUGUAGGUACCUCCUUGAUUUGGUUGAUGGUGUGACUUGGCCUCCAUCGAUCCCUGCCACCGGGAUAGACGGUCGAGUGGGUUACUGCUUCCGCAGGAGAGGACGAGGAGGAGUAGCAUGGCCAGGCUUCGCCAUGUUACUCGGUUUUCUCCGUUAGUUAUUUUCGCUGCAUUAAAAUUUAUGGUUAUUAUUUCUGAAACUCCGAUAAUGUAAUCACUAAUGAUACUUAUUAAAUUUGUGGUAUUAUGUUUUAUUGUAUUUCUCUAUGCCUCACCUUCGAGUGAGCUAGUGGUAUUCGAUCCUAGAUAAGUGGCUUUAUCGGACUAGAUCCGAGGGACUGACGGGUUAUUCCUGUUUAAGUGUGUUGCUACCCUUAAGGGUGCGACUUGGGCAUUUAAGCUGGAAUAAUUUGGGCGGUUCCGGCACAUAAGGGCAGUAGGGGAGUUGCAUGCAGGGAGGUUCUCGAGUUGAUUUUGCUACGAUGGCGGUCAGAUGGGGGAUUCUUGCAAGUGUUCUUCCCAUAAACUGUAGCGGAUUUUCGAAAGCUAGUGGAACUUUGUAAAGGCCUCAUAGUGGAUCCCUAGACAUUCACCUCGGUAGUGUCUAACGACCUUGCAAACCCUAGCAACAUGGGAAACACGACUUGUGGGUACAGGGUACAACCUCUGCAGAGUGUAAAACUGGUAUACUAGUCGUGCUCACGGUCAUGAGCGACUCGGACACUCACAUGAUUAAUUUAUGUAACUUAAAUUCAAUUUGUCAUUUGCACUUGCAUGAGAUUAUUUAUUAAUUUUGUUCUAUUAUUUAUUAUGGUUUGGUAUUUACUUACACUUAGUAACUGCUAAUAAAAUUUGACCAACUUAUUAAAAGCAAUGCUCAGCUUUAACCCCUAUUGUUGAUCAACCUUACACAUCACAUGAACUCCCACCUUUGGUGAGUUCAUACACACUGGUUUCCCCACAACUUGUUGAGCUAUGAUUAUGUGUGAGCUCACCCUUGCUGUCUCACACCCCCACAGGAGAAGAACAUGUGGUUCAAGAGGAGCCACACAACGAGGAGUUUGAUCUGAUAUAGGUGGCGUCUCCCAGUCGACUUUAUGGCGCCAAGGAUGGACUUUAGUUCGAUCUAUAUUUAUCCGUUAUUUUGUAAGACUUCUGUUAUAAUAAGUACUCUGAUGUUAUUGUGACAUUUAUCUCUAUACACUUUGUUAUUGUAUAUGUUGUUGUUGGGGACUUGUUCUCAAAUGCUAUGAGUUAAGAACAAGGCAACACAAAUGUUAAUGGUUAAAGGCCUUCGUCCUCUGAAGCAUUAUCUCCCUCAGGAUAUAAUGAUCUUCAGACGAAGGUCAUGAAGGGCAUACCUUCAUCAUCUCAAUAUGUAAUGGAAAGCAUAAGCACGAAUUAUAUAUAAAGAAUACGAACAAUCAUUUUAAAUCAUUAGAUUAUUUGUAUUCUUAUUGAAUAACCAUGAAUAAACAUUAACAAUAUGGAAUUACAUUUGUUCCUUCGGCUUGAUAGAAGGUAAGGAUCCAAGUGUGACGUGCGAGUGAAUACAAGUCAGCGUGAACAGUACGGGGUUACUGUUCACCUAUUUAUAGGCACGGGACGCAGCCCAGUCAAAAUUACAUUUAUGUCCUCGAUAACUAAUUAUAAACGUGACACAAAUUAUCAUGGACUGAACGUCUUUUCCUCUUUAAGUCGGUGCCGCCCUUCGUCUCAAGGCAUGUUUUUUUGUCGAAGCUCCCUGGAUUGUAGCUUUGGUGUACACCUUUGUGUUGUAUUGCAUGUCGUCUUGUCGAAGGUGUUUUGUUUAGAGGACCUUCGGCGAAGAAGAAGGCCCCCAACAGUAGCCCCUUUGCGGUGCUAGAUCGUUUUUCGUAACGAGCUCGAUCUGCGAAAAUUCCCGAAGGCUUCGGAAUGCCGAAGGUCCGAAAACACCUUCCCUAAGCUCGUUGCCGAGAAACGAUUAAAAUACUCCAGGCGCCGGGUGGUCCACCGUUCAGCGAAUAUAGGCGAUCUGGCGGUUCGCCUUCCAAGCGCCGAGUGGUCCACCGUACAGCGGGUGCAGGCGAUCUGACGGUUCAGCUUCCCUCCUGCAGCACUAUAUAAACAGGCGGGUUGGUGUAGAGUUACCAUAGCAUUCAUUGCCAUUGCACUGUUGUGCUGUUAAAAAAUUUAACCAUAGCCGAAGCUUUUUUCACUACGCUCUCAAGCGAGUACAUCAUUUAGAGAUAACUUCGUCAGAAGAGUGAGCUUCGUCAAAACUGCGAAAACAAACAUCAACUUCGUUAAAACCGCAAAAAAUCCAUCAAAUGCCAGAGUGUGUUCGACCGCAAGGGUGACUCGUGAGGGAGACGAGACUGAGGUCACCGAGACAUCACCAAUUUCCGAAGUCAUGAAACAAUCAGGUCUAGUUGUGACGGAGGGAAACACUGAGGAAGGUACUGUUGUUGCCGAAGCUGAACAGACCAUUGCGGAAGAAGAAAAUAUUGAAGUGGAUGAGGAAGAUUAUAGUAUUUUGAUCCCAACAAAAUCCAGCCAUAUAGAUUUUGAGAAAUCUACUGUGACUGAAGCUGAUAUGCCCAUGGUGAUGAAGCUAGGCUACUUUGGGGUAGCUGAAAGGAAACUUGUCGAUUUGCCGGAGAAGAGACCACCCCAACACCGAAGAAUGAUGAAAUAGUGGUUUUAAGAGCUUCUUCAGAGCAGGACUGCGACUUCCUCUGAACGAGAUGAUAGUGGAAGUCUUGAAAAAUUUCGAAAUUUAUCUUCAUCCGAAGCCAAGGGAUGAGCCCAGAUGCCGAAGCGUUAUGUUGAGUGCAUGAGUUGCACUACCAGACGAAGGCCAGGGCAGACGGUCUUCAUGAAAAUUUUGGUUGCUACAAUUUUGCGAAUCGCAAGGAUACAAAGGCUCCAGUUCUCAGUUACCGCACCAAAUGGCCAACCGGCUGGAAAGGUGAAUGGUUUUAUAUUAAGGCUGAUGAGAAGAAGAGGGAGAAACUGAUGACGAUGGUCAUGUGCCCGCUAUCCUUAAACUUCAGAAUGACCAGGCCCCUGUGCAACAUGCAGCUAGGGUCGGCAUGCCAGCUGGCCGAGGUAGAAUUCAGGGUGGUGGCUGAGCAAAUCAGCACUAGGGACUUGGUGCAAGAAUACCUAGCCAACCGAACAUAUCCAACAUCAAGUGGCUGGGGGAUGCCGGAGAUGAAGGGAACGAAGAAGAAACAUUAAUGAUAUAGCUGAGGUGCCCGAUCUUUCGGUGAGUGGGGAUAAUUCCGAUUUGGCGGAAGAUGACCCUUGUGAUCUGACUACGACGAGCAAGCCAGAGGUGCCAAUGCAAUCGCUGAACCAACUCCAGUGGGUACCGACCUUGCUGAUGCGAGAUCGGCCUGAUCACGAAGAUCGUUUCCUGUGCGCAAUCGAAGAACGAACAAGAAAAAGAUGCGAGCAAUCUAAUCUAUUACUCGAGGGUGGAGUUCUGAAUACACAAAGACAACGCUGAUUUGCGCGUGUUCGAGAGUAGCUAAAGCUAACGUAAAACAAAACUCGAAGAACAAAGGAGGCGCAACUCCUAGAUAAAUAGAGAGGGGGCGCAGCCCCUAGGGGCGGCCAACCCUAGGUCGUCCACUAUGGGCCGCAGUUGGGCUGGUCGUCUAUUCUUCUGGGCCCUCAUUCUUCAGUAGCAUGACGAAGUUAAGAUCUCUGGCAUGGGCCCGAGUGAUUGGCCCAGCUAAUGAAGGAAGUGGCGCUUGAUGUGGAGGUGCUGCUGGUGUAGUCGUACUCAUAGUGAUGUCCUCAUCAUCCUCCCCUUCUCGAAGUGAAGUCGUCCUCGACGGCAACUCCUCAUCCUCGGCCAUAUAUGGUUUCAAAUCUACAACAUUAAAACUAGUGGAAACACCAAAUUCCGCAGGCAGGUCAAGGAUAUGAGCAUUAUCAUUAAUCUUUGUUAGCACCUUAAAAGAACCAGCAGCACAAGGCAUUAAUUUAGAACGCCGCAAAGUAGGAAACCGAUCCUUUCUCAAGUGCAACCAAACCAUAUCACCUGGCUCAAAAGUAACAAGUUUUCUUCCUUUACUACCAGCAACCUGAUUUUUUGCAUUAGUAGCAGCAAUGUUCUGUUUCGUUUGUUCAUGCAUGGUAAUCAUUUGUUCAACAUGUGCAGCAGCAUCUACAUGUGGGGCGUUCGCAACAUUAAGUGAAAUCAAAUCAAUAGGUGCCCUAGGGAUGUAACCAUAAACAAUCUGGAAAGGGCACAUCUUUGUAGAAGAAUGCGUGGCAUGAUUGUAAGCAAAUUCAACAUGAGGCAAGCAAUCCUCCCAACGUCUCAAAUUCUCGUCUAAUACAGCCAUAAGCAUGGUAGAUAAAGUUCUAUUUACUACCUUAGUUUGUCCAUCAGUCUGAGGGUGACAAGUAGUGCUAAACAACAAUUUAGUUCCCAAUUUAUUCCAAAGAGAUCUCCAAAAAUGGCUUAGAAACUUAGCAUCGCGAUCAGAGACUAUUGUUUUUGGAAUACCAUGUAAACGAAUAAUUUCUCUAAACAACAAUUCAGCAACAAUGCUAGCAUCAUCAGUUUUAUGACAAGGUAUAAAGUGAGCCAUUUUAGAGAAUCUAUAACCAACCACAAAAAUAUUAUCCCUCCCCUUCUUAGUUCUAGGCAAGCCCAAAACAAAGUCCAUAGAAAUAUCAAGCCAAGGAGAAGAAGGGACAGGCAAAGGCAUAUACAAACCAUGGUUGCCCAGACGUGACUUAGCUUUCUGGCAAGUAGUGCAACGUGCAACAAGACGCUCAACAUCACGGCGCAUCCGAGGCCAAAAGAAGUGUGCGGCCAGCACCUCAUGUGUCUUGUAAAUGCCAAAGUGCCUCAUGAGACCACCUCCAUGAGCUUCCUGCAGCAACAAAAGACGAACCGAGCUUGCUGGAAUACACAGCUUGUUAGCGCGGAACAAAAAUACAUCCUGUAUGUGAUAUUUUCCCCAGGGUUUGCCAUCCUUACAAUGUACAUAGAAAUCUUUAAAAUCAGCAUCAUCCACAUAUUGAUCUUUCACAGUUUGCAAGCCAAAGAUUCUAAAUUCUAACUAUGAAAGCAUGGUAUAUCUACGGGACAACGCAUCAGCAAUGAUGUUUUCCUUCCCAUUCUUGUGUUUAAUGAUGUAAGGAAAGGACUCGACGAAUUCUACCCAACUAGCAUGACGACUGUUCAAAUUUUUUUGGGUACGAAUAUGUUUUAAAGCCUCAUGAUCAGAAUGAAUUAUAAACUCACGAGGCCAAAGGUAGUGCUGCCAUGUUUGCAAAGUGUGAACUAAAGCAUAAAGUUCCUUAUCAUAAGUAGAAUAUCUCAAGCUAGCACCGCUUAAUUUUUCACUGAAAUAAGAACCGGUUUUCCUUCUUGUAACAAAACAGCACCUAACCCAAUACCACUAGCAUCACAUUCAAGUUCAAACACUUUCUGAAAGUCGGGCAAUUGUAAGAGUGGAGCAUAGGUUAACUUAUCUUUCAAAGUGUUGAACGCCUCUUCUUGUGGGGGGUCCCAAGCAAAAGACACAUCUUUCUUUGUGAGUUCGUGCAAAGGGGCAGCGAUGGAGCUAAAAUCACGCACAAAACGGCGAUAAAAUCCUGCAAGUCCAAGAAAACUCUGAAUUUGCGUGACCGUCGUUGGUGUAGGCCAGUCCUGAAUGGCUUCAACCUUGCUGUUAUCCACCUCAAUGCCCUGCGGAGUAACCACAUAACCAAGAAACAAGACACGUUGCGUGCAAAAUGUGCACUUUUCCAUGUUACCAAACAAGCGAGCAGCACGCAAAGCAUCAAAAACAGCACGCAAAUGUUCUAAAUGCUCCUCUAUAGACUUGCUGUAAAUAAGGAUAUCAUCGAAAUAAACAACAACAAACAAACCUAUGAAGACCCGUAGAACUUCGUUCAUUAAACGCAUAAAGGUGCUGGGAGCAUUAGUCAAUCCAAAUGGCAUAACCAACAAUUCAUAUAAACCAAAUUUCGUUUUAAAAGCUGUUUCCCAUUCAUCACCGAGUUUCAUUCUAAUCUGAUGGUAACCGCUACGCAAAUCAACCUUAGAGAAAAUAACGACAUCACUAAGAUCAUCUAACAUAUCAUCAAGGCGUGGAAUAGGAUAUCGAUAACGAACUGUGAUGUUAUUAAUAGCACGACAAUCUACGCACAUACGCCAAGACCCAUCUUUCUUUGGAACGAGUAAAACAGGAACCGAGCAAGGGCUAAGAGACUCAUGAAUGUAACCUUUAUCAAGCAGCGUCUACACCUGGCGCUGGAUCUCCUUCGUCACAUCUAGAUUUGUAUGGUACGGGGCGCAGUUCGGAAGAGAAGCGCCGGGGAUGAGAUCGAUCUGAUGCUCAAUGCCACGGAGCGGAGGAAGACCCAGUGGUAAGUCCGUAGAAAAAACAUCAUCAUACUCCUGCAAAAGGUUAACAACAGCAGGGGGUAUAUCCAAAGACGGGGCAUCAUCGGAACAAGCAUGCGAGCAUACACGUGCAUAAUAGGGCAUAUGAGCUUCAUGGAGAUCAUCAAAAUCAGCACGUGUAGCAAGUAAAACAGGAGAGUGCAACUUGAUUUCAGAUUUAUUAGGUGCGGCUGAUGUCGAUUUGACAUGUUGUGCAGUUUUAGCAGCCCUAGUAAGAUCAUCUUUCAAAAUUUGGUCAGGGGUCAUUGGAUGUAUAAUUAUUUCUGGCCUUUAAACAUGAAAGAAUAAUGAUUUGAACGACCAUGAUGUAAACUAUCAGUAUCAUAUUGCCAAGGUCGACCCAAUAACAAAGAGCAUGCUUCCAUACGAAUAACAUCGCAAUCAGCAUAAUCAGAAUAAGAACCCAGCGAAAAGGGGACACGUACCGAACGUGUUACCUCUAUUUUACCACCAUCAUUAAGCCAUUGAAUGUGAUACGGAUGUGGGUGUGCGCGAGUGGGCAAGGAUGAUUUCUCUACCAAAGUUGUACUUGCCAAAUUGUUGCAGCUGCCACUAUCGAUGAUGAUGCGAAUCGACCGUUCAUGCACAACGCCCUUGGUAUGGAAUAGAGUGUGUCGCUGAUUUUUUUCGGCCUGGGCAACCUGUGUGCUGAGAACAUGCUGCACAACAAGACUCUCAUACCUAUCGGCGUCGAUGGGAUCAACGUGGACUUCCUCAUUUUCUGCAUGGUUAGUGGCAAUCAUAGCAUGACUAGUUUCCUCGGAAUCACUGGCUGAAGAGUACUCGACAUUGUCACGUAUAAGCAAGGUAAACUUGUUUGGGCAGUCCCGAAUCAUGUGCCCAAACCCUCUGCAACGAUGGCACUGAAUAUCCCGUGUACGUCCUGUGGAAGAAGCGGCACCUUUGGCAGGGGGCGCCGCUGGCUUGGUCGUCCCUGUGCGCAGUGUAGUGCUAGGCGUAGAAGGUGCAGGGCUGGAAGGAGUUGAGUUGUGUGUCGAACCUCGGCCUGCAAAAGAGUUAGUAUAUGUCUUUGAUCGUCGUCCCUGCACUUCACGUUCAGCUUUGCAAGCAUAUUCAAACAAUGUGGUUAUAUCAAAAUAAUCCUUAUAAUCAAGUAUAUCCUGAAUUUCCCUGUUCAAACCACCACGAAAACGCGCCAUAGCAGCGUCAUCUGACUCAACCAAACCACAACGAAGCAUACCCUUUUGUAACUCCUGGUAAUAUUCCUCAACAGAUUGUGAACCUUGUUGAAAACGCUGCAUUUUGUUAAGCAAAUCACGGGCAUAAUAGAAAGGAACAAAUCUGUGGCGUAUGGCAGUUUUUAAUUGGGUCCAAGUAGUGACACUGUUAAUGGAAAGUUUUUGUUUAUACUCACGCCACCAAAUUAAAGCAAAAUCAGUAAAUUCACUAAUGGAAGCCUUCACUUGGCUAUUAGCAGGAAUAUCAUGGCAUGAAAAUUUCUGUUCUACCUCCAAUUCCCAAUCAAGAUAUGCAGCAGGAUCAUAUUUACCAUUAAAAGAUGGAAUUUUAAAUUUAAUCUUAGCAAAUAAGUCAUUAGGGGGAUGACGAACCACACGGCGUGCACGACCACGGCAAUCUCCAUCUUCCUGCUCAGUGUCACCGCCGUAGUCCUGCUCCAUCUUUGUGGUCAACGCAUCAAGGCAUGACAGGAUGGUGUCGAGUGUGGUGUGAGUCGCCGUUUGAGCAUGGUCAAGCUGGUUGAAACGUGCGGUCGUCGAAGUGACCGUUGAAUUAAGCCGUUCAUGCAUCAUCCUAAUGUCAGCAGCAAGUCCAUCAACUUGUCCCCUUACUUCCUGCAACUGGGCAUCCACCGUGUCAUUUGCUCCUGCCAUAGUUAGCGCAAACACCAAAACACCAAAAGGAGAAAAACCAACGAUAACAGGGGAAUGGUGGUGACAACUCGCUCAAUGGAAUGCUGUUAUCAAGUUCUUAUCCGUUCUUACCAAGCCACAGUGGUGAACUGCAACCAACAGGUGGAACUGGUGAAAGAUUGGAUGAGCGAUUGCCUGGAGAAACAGAAACCUGCUCGUCGUCGAAAUAUGUGGAGUUCUGGGUAGGCUGCACUCAAGUCAAGGAUUAGCACGAUCAAACAAUAAUGCAAAGUUGAAUUAUAGUGCAAAACAUGAAACUAUAUUGCUGGCCACAAGUGCAAAGGACGGAUGGAACUAGUAGAAUGGCAGUACCGUAAAUAUUGUACUAGCGAGGCCAAAAAGGCACUAGUAGGAAUCACAGGUGAUUUUGUUUUUCUUUUUGUAUGAUUUUUUUGAUAUUUUUCUCAGCACAAGAAGCAACAAAAUAGGAGCUACACCAAGUUUCACCUAAAACAGAGAUCAUAUGUGGUCUACAGAAAAGCGUGCAAGAACUUUGACGAAUUUUUUUUCUUUAUCCUUUGAAUCGAUCCAACUCCCUUCAGCCCUUCUGGCAGCUUCUUGACUUCUAUGGACAGCAAUGGACCCUUGCUCCGAAGGUAUCUUCAUGCAUAAGUAUGCGGGAUGAAGUAUUGCUUCGAAGGCAUUAAGCGUCCCUCGACCAAUGAUUGCGUUGUAUGGGUACUCCAUGUCGACAAUGUCAAAAACAACUUGCUCAGUUCUUGUGUUGUGGACGUAACCGAAGGUGACUGACAUUAUGAUUUUGUCAAGUGCCACAAUCUGUCUUCAUCCGAAGCCACAAAGAGGGUGUGUAGCUUCAUGAAUCUUGUCCUCUAGUUCUUGCAUCUGUCUGAAAGCCUUUGAAAAUAUGAUGUCCGCUGCACUACCUGUGUCAACUAGAACAUUGUGGACCAAAAAUCCCUUGAUGACACAAGAUAUGACCAUAGCAUCGUUGUGAGGAUAGUCUUUGAGCUGAAGAUCCUCCUGGGAAAAGGUGAUUGGGAUGUGGGACCACUUGGAUCUGACGAAGGGUCCUUGCACCCCAACAUGCUGCACUCUUCUCUGCGCUUCCUUCUUCUGCUUCUUGUUGGCUGGCUCUGAACUUGAACCGCCCGUGAUUGGGAGCACCAGCUUCGUGACUGAAGGUGCUGCAGCUUAGUUGUUGAACGAAGCCAAUCGUUUCAAUCAGUGGAAGUGAGUUCACCGGAGGUGGGCGCCAAUGUUGGGGACUUGUUCUCAAAUGCUAUGAGUUAAGAACAAGGCAACACAAAUGUUAAUGGUUAAAGGCCUUCGUCCUCCGAAACAUUAUCUCCCUCAGGAUAUAAUGAUCUUCAAACGAAGGUCAUGAAGGGUGUUGGGGACUUGUUCUCAAAUGCUAUGAAUUAAGAACAAGGCAACACAAAAUGUUAAUGGUUAAAGACCUUCGUCCUUCGAAGCAUUAUCUCCCUUAGGAUAUAAUGGUCUUCAGACAAAGGUUAUGAAGGAUGUACCUUCAUCAUCUUAGUAUAUAAUAAAACGAGUAGAAGCAUAAGAAACAUGGGAAAUAACAUGAAUAAUUAUAUGACAUUAUCAGAACAUUUUUAUUAUCUUAUCAUGAAUAAACAUGAUCAAUAUCGAAUUACAUUUGUACCUUCGGCUUGACAGAAGGUAAAAGUCCAAGCGUGACGUGCGAGUGAAUACAAGUCAGCGUGAACAGUAUGGUGUCACUAUUCAUCUAUUAUUAGGCACGAGACGCAGCCUAUGUAGAAUUACAUUCAUGCCCUUGGCAUUUACUAUUAACUUAGGGAUAAUCUAUCGAGGACUAGACAACCUUUUCCUCUUUAAGUCGGUUUCAUUUUCCAUCGCUAAGCCGAAGCUUUUUCACGGGUAGCUUCGGCACUAGCCCAUCCUUCUCCCGAACCACGCUCUUCAUAUCAUGUACAACUUCAUCCCAUGUCCAACGGUUCCUGUACAUAUAUUAUACUUGGGAAACAUGUUAGUCGUGUUUUUGAGGACCUUCGGAAGACGAAGGCCCCCAACAGUAGCCCCUUGCAGUAUUAAUUUGUUAUAACAACGGAUUUAGACUGUGACAUGAACGAAGGCCUUAAGCUGAAGGUCCGAAAAAACACCUUCCCUUCGCUAGAAUAGCGACAAUCAAUGACAGACGGGGCCCGCCAAGUUGCAAAGCACUAGGCGUAUAAAUAUGAACCCACAGCGGCAGCAUUUGGUACGCUAUUUCUGCUAUUCGCGUUAUUUUCUCAAAUUUCUAGCUCUUGCUCAAUAGCUCUCGCCUGAUUUUCGAGCUUUUAGAGCUUCGGUUUAAAGGCGUGCUUGCUCCAAAUUUGAGGAGAAGAAGAUGAGUGGGGAGAAGAAGAUGACUGAAGAGAAGAAAAUAACCAAGGAGAAGAAGCUGUAUGAAGAGAAGAAAGUUGUGGAUCCUUUCAUCGCUGGGUUUUAUGAGUCCAUGGCAAAAACGAAUACAGAGAAAAUUACUAAGGAGAUCAUGGAGGGUUUGUCCGAAGAUUCUGAUGAUAGUGAUAGUUAUGACGUGGAGAGUGGGGAUGAAGAUUCUGAGGAUCGGCCCUGGCGGCCAUGUCAUACUAUCUUCGGAAAGUCGACUAUCAAAUAGAGUCAUAUUGGCGCCAUGAGGGGGAGAUAUUUUCGCGACAUGUCGAUCUAUUAUCAGAGUUGGAGGAGACAACACUGCCCCAUCUGGUAUCUCUUCGGCCUCCGAAGGCCGAAGGUGGAAAUUGAUGGCAAUGUUGAAGCAUGCCAGAAGGCUUUUAGUACUGUUUGCGCCUUCAUUGGCACGAGGGAUUUAAUUCAAGAGCACAUAUCCUUCAGGGUGUGGCCACUUGUGGAGAGCUGGGAUAUGCCGAAGGAAACUACUGCCGACUCCAGUGAUGGUGGCGUGGUUCGAUUGAAAUAUACCUUCAGGUUUAGAGAGAAGUUUGACGAGCCAAAUGAUGACUGGUUGAAAUGUAUUGAAGCUACCAGUGACGAGCUGCUUGGGACAUAUUCCAAAGGCGAAGAUGAUGCCUUGUCCGCAGCCUUUGGGGGCCGGGGCAAGAAAAGAUUGAACAGGGUAUUUGAUGCGAUUGGCUUCGUGUACCCUGAUUAUCGCUACCCGCUACGAAUGCAGGGAAAGUAGAGAAAGACUGCCACUUCAGUCACCACAGCUGUGCCGAAGGGCAAAAAAGUGAAGGUUCUGACCCACUGGCCGCGAUAUAUUGAACCGGCCAUAGUGCCUAAAUUUGGCGAAGGGACCUCUUCAACUACCGAAACAAAACAAGCUGUUCUGAUUGUGCAGAGCGCUGAAGAGCCGAAUGUAGUGCCGAAGGUGCCUACAGUCGGGCCAGCCGAAGCUAAGGAUGAUACGACCGAAGAGCCAAAGGUGGAAAAAACAGUGAAAAUGCCAUCAAUUCUGAGCCCACCAGCAGAGGCAAACCUGCCGAAGGUGCAAAAAGCUCCUGCUGCAACUCCCAAGAGGAGGAUGGCCAGCGUGCUGGACACUGUUAUGGAGACCGCAAAGGCUUUGAGCCCUGCUCCUAGUAAGAAAAUUGCCGAAGCUGUAAAAGUUCAGGCCGAAGCCGAAGUUGGGCCUUCAAUGCCCAUAGAGAUGAAGGCGGUUGCGCCUAAGGAUAAAACAGAGCAACAAACUUCAUAUACUGGCAUGGCAGUGAGACAAGAUGUAAUGGAAAAAGCAAAAGUUCCUGCCCUCGAAACUUCGGCCGAAAAUGUUACAUUAUCUGACAUGCUUCGGGGAAAAAUUAUCUGAAGAAGAAAUCCUAGAAGCCAGACACUACGCCCAGAAACUAAAAUAUCCAAAGGGGGCUUUAGUGUUCAAUGGCACUAACGAAGAUGAUUUCCUAUACUGUCUCCCGGACAACAAAGAAAUAUCCGUUUGCUGGGAGAUAGCUAAAAGUAUGGGAUUUCCGAAGCUUGAAGAAGGCCUUUCGACCAUGUCGAAGGAUGAUCUUACUGAUAGCCUUGCGUAUAACAGUAUAAAGGUAUAGAAGUUAACUUUUAAAGUUGGGAAUGAGUAAUUUCAUUGCUAUACUUAAUUAUUUUUUUGCAGGGCUUAAUUCUUAGCAAUGCCCUGAGAGCACAAAAGAGCGCCGAAGACGAAGGAUGCACAAUAGCUCUCAGCAACCUUCGAUCAGAGGUGAUUGAACUAAGAAACGAAGGUCUAGAGAAAGACAAAAUUUUGAUUUCAUUGGUGAGUAAAAUAAAAGAAGACGAAGCUAAGUACAAUGCUCAGGCCGAAGCCCAAAAAGCCGAGAUUGAAGACCUUCGGAGACAACUGGCCGAAGCUAAUGAGAAUUGCGCACUCGCACAGGCUAACCGAGAGAUUAGUGAAUAUUGGAAGAAUAAGCUAGAGAAAAAUGUUGAAGAACUUCGCGAAUCCAAGGAAAAAUGUUUUGAAAAAACCUUGGAUUGCGUGAAGAAGUUAAAAACUAGCUUCUCCAAAGUGGGCGCCUAUUCUUCUGAAGAAAAUUUUAUCCGAGCCGACCCUGAGGGCGUUAUUGAAUGGAUAAGUGGAGAAGUCGAAGCCUUCGAGGAAAUCUUGAAUGAUCGUGGGGAUAUUUGUGCUUUUUCCUGCGCUCGGAGAAUUUCUGCUAUUCUGGAGAAGGCCGGAUGUGAUCACGUCAAGGCUAUAGCUCAUGCCGAAGGUGCCUUCUCCAUAGACGAUACGAAGGAUCCUCCAGCCAAAGCAACUUUAGUGGACGGGAAGUUUUAUUCUAAUGUCUGGGUGAAUGGUGGCCGAGAGCUGGCCCACGAAAUUAUUAAAAAGAAUGAAAAAGACAAAUAAAAAGACAUGAUCACUUGUAUAUAUAUUCUAAUGCCGUUGUGCAGUGACAGCACUUGUACCCACCAUAACCGGAAUGGGAGACCAUGUCUCAGGUCGCGUGAGGGGUAAAGUCUGCGGGCAGGUUCACUCAGGUACUAGGCUUACCGAUUUACCAUAUUUCUCGGCAUAUGUUUAGUACGUUCAAACGCUUGACACACGGUACCACACCUUAAUCCUUAUUCCAAUUUUCGUCUCGGAGACGACGCAUCCCCAUGGACCGUCGUCAACAGACCAUCAUCAUUCCGAUAUAAAAUGGAUACAAUCAAUUCCUGACCUCGCGCGAGUGCUAGAAAAAUCACUCGACUUCUACCGAGAUCCCUAAUUAGUAAAGCAACUACUCGACCUAGCAUACUAGUAUCCAUCUCAAAAGGAAUCCUGAGUUAAUGCAUCUAGGGUUUCAGGUAACUCCUACACUUAAGUACACAGUACAAGCCUAAAAACAUUAAGUGAAGUAAAAUAACAUAUAUAAUGGUUAUGCAUAAGACUGGGGCUUGCCUUUUUUUCAUACCACCACCACACCACACAUCGCAAACAUAGACUAAUUCAAUCAUACUUCACACGGCAAUUUAUACAGAGUCGCAGAGUGACAAUAUUAACACAUAGGUAAGCAACAUUUCUUCACGACUUUCGGCUAAGUAACCAAACAGACGACAUGAUGACUACGAAGGCAUGUCACCAUUUCAUCACACACAUUCAUCUCCUAUAUGCGCACUAAUCCAUUUCUUGCGACAUAUGCACUCAAAAUCAAUCCACACUACACAACGUACACUUAUCUCUUAUUUAUGCGCAGACUUAACACCUUUCGGGAUAAAGCGUCACUAUAAACACCUUACACCUAAUUGCUUUAGGAACUUAUUAGUUCACUCGAAAACACCCAUUCAAAGUCAUAAACACAAUCAUACACUAUAUGUGAAGCACAAUUUAAGGAACGCAUAAUACGCAUCGACACGACUCGACUUAUAAAUGCAGAGAAAGCAGUGACUACUUUGGCAUGUCACCACCUAUCUAGUUAAGCCAAAACAAUUUCUAUUAUCGACUAAGAGUUCUAAGUAUUAAACAUAUUAUUAGUUCCCACGCACAAAUAAACCUCAACUUAACAUAAGUGACACCGAUGGAUUUUUAUUAAACUUAUUGUGGCGUGCACUCGAGACAUUACUGUUUAAUUUAACGCAAUCACUACUACAACUCAUCUCGGCAUACUUGUUCGGCAACACAGUGCUCAGGCAAACCCACACUUCCAAUCUACUUAUCACAUCCAACCACACCACGUGCCCACUGCAUUCUUAUGACCAAUUUUAGCACAAUUAUUUAUGACAAUGUUUAUCGACUAGACGAGUGAAACACCAACUGAUUAUUCGCACAUCUCGCCUCUAAAACACUAAUCACAUCUCACAUAAUUUAUAUUUUCAACCCACUCCAACCUACACCACGAGGAAUACAUAAAAUAUAUUUAACCUAGACUAACUCAUUAGCCGACUGCAGAGAUUACCAAGCACGCUUUACGCUUUAUUAAAUUUACCACAACUAACACACUGCUUUACGACGAAGUAUUUUAACAAACAAUUAAUACAUCUACGACCAAUCCCUAUGACACACAAAUGGACCAUUGUAGGCACACAUACACUUGUUGGCAUUCCAAUCGCAAACACAUCUACGCGUACCACUUUCUCCUCCAAGAAUUUCAAUUCGCAUACAACAUAUUCACACACAUAUAUAUACAUGACAAUGACAAUUGUGCAAGUAAGUCAAUCACAUGGAUUCAACCUAAUCGAGUCGGGACUAGCCUGCAUGGGCUGUCCACAUGGCUCGGCAUUUCGUCGAACGGGCAAGGCGCGAAGCGCGACGUUGACCAUUAGCUGUGAAAACACACAAAUUUGUUGGCGACAGUCCAUCGAACAUUACAAACGCUAAAAAAUAGCGAGGACAGCGAGGGGGUUUCUCACCACGGGUUUCGACGGUGUCGCAGAUGGGGCUGCACAGAUCCGGUGAAGCACGCGGUGCGGAGGGGAUCCGGGGCUGCUACGGUGGACCGGCACCGCUGCGCAGAUCGGGUCGACGCUGGCUGCGGACAAGCGCACAGGAGCUAUGACCUGUUGCCUGGCGAGGUCGGACGGCGCAGCUGCAGCAGAGCACAAGGCGGAGCUCGAAGCAGGGCACGGUCAUCAAGGCUAGGCGCUAGGAGAAGAUCCGGCGCAGGGGCGUCCAUCGAGGUAGCCCUGUUCGGUAACCAGGGGAGAAGAGCAGGAACUCAAGGUACCGAGCAGCUGGAGGAGGUAGAUCGCAGGGAGGGGCUUCAGUUGCUGGUGCCCAUGGGAGGAGGGCUGGAGCUUUGGGCGCCGGCCAUGGAAGUCGGAGGGGGCGCCAUGGGUGGCUAGGGAAACUGCUGCUCGCUUGCAGGGAGCGAGCGCCAGGGGGAGUCUUGGUCAACGUCCAUUGUAGGGGAGUGGAGGCUCGUGCCCAUGGAGCAGGGAAGGGCAUAGGCAUGGGGCGCUCGGAUGGGGGGGGGGUUGGCCUGCUUGCUUGCUUGAGGAAGAAGUAGAGGGAGGAGGGAAGGGCGAGCAGCAGCAGGGGAGGGAGCUCGGCGGCCAUGGAGCUCCUGCGCGCUGGCUGCUGUUGCCGUGGAGCAGGGAGGAAGAAGGUUGCUGGCGGCUGAAAGAAAUGCAGGGGUGGGAGUGCAAAAUUGCCAAGUGCAAGGGGAGAGGGCUCCUAUUUAUAGGCAUGUGGUAGGGUUAGGGUUUUCUUAGUGGGCCUAUUGGGCUGGGUUGGGCUGGCCCAAACACUAAACUGGGCCAUGAUAAUUUAUUUCCAUUUUAUUUUAUGGCGUCUUGAUUAAACAUGGAUUAUCGAAAAGCUAAUUAUUUCCCGGAAUACAAAUGCUCCUGCAGAAUUCGUCUCUACGGAGAACAGAGCAAAACAGAUUUCGAAAGAUCGGGCGAUUAACUUGGCCGAGAGUUUGAUUUGACUUUGCUCGGCAUUAAUUCCCUACGCAUGAUUCGAAAAUAAAUUGUCUUGAGAUAUGACCGACUUUCGGAUUUUUAGUCGGAGAAGGCGAACCGUGAUAUUUUUAAAAAGCACUAUCGAUGCGGGUUUUGAAUUCAGUUCAGACACAAGAUACUAGGCUGAGUCUAGUAAGAAUUAAUUAGAGGACGACAUAUUGAGUAUUCCGCAUGAGAGUACGGAUACGAAUAAAAUAGUCGAACAUAGAUCAAGGUUCGAGGAAUUAGACUCGGGCUCAGAUCAAAUAACAACCGUUGAGAGUUUGAUUUAAAGAGCUUCAGAUGAGAUUUAUAAUUCGAGAAUGAUUUUCGAGUUCGCAUUCAUUCCGAGAAAUAAAAGUUUUAACCGGCUCCAAAAUUGGUUGUUUCUCGCGAUCGAAUAACUCCGAAUUCGGUGAGAUGUGUACGAAUAGUCUGGAGAAUCAGAGACAUACGUGAGCAAAAAAUAGAAAUUUUCACUGAGCAUCCGAGAUUGGGAUAAAUUUCCUGAUGUAACACGAAAUAGACACCUAGGGUGUCACAGCCUUCCCCCCUUAAAAGAAUCUCGUCCCGAGAUUCGAACAAGGACUCUUAAGGGUGGAGAAGCAUGUAACUCCCAGGCUGGAGAUAGAUGCAAAUUUAUGAGAUAGGAUCUAACAAGAUACUGAAGAUAGAUUUGGGUAGAAUAUCGUGACAUGUUGAGACAAAAUGCAGCGAUCACUCUGAGAGAAUGUUCACCAAAGAUAGCACAUCAGUAUAGUCUCGUAAUGGAUCACGACUAUGAACCGUGAUACCAGCUCGUGCCGAGCAGCUCAACCAUGUGUGCACCAUAGUAGGCUCUCGGUUUCGUCGCGGCACCAUCAGUCGUUAGUCAUGACAUCAUUACCAAACGCAACCAAUGAGAAAUCUACAUAGCACAGAUAGAUGGAGCCCAUGAGAGUAUGGCUCAGAAAAUAAUGAUGUGACCAGAGUUGAAGCAGAGGUUGCUGACAAAAAGAGCAUCACAUGAGAAUUUUCUUUAACUCUGAGAACUACUUUAUGAUCAUCAUGGAGAUUAUCAUGCCAGAGAUUCAUACGAGAUUUUCAUAUGAGAACAAAGCAUCCACGAGGUCAGGUUGGUGAACUUGUAGAGACAUGAGAGAACCACAAGCUAACAACAAAAAUCCCUUGAACCAAAUGGAUACACUGGUUAGAGAUACAGUUGAUAAAACAAGAUCAUGAUCCUCGGAGAAGGGGGUAUGAGAAUGACCAGAAAUGAGAGAUUUAGGUAAGAUCAACAUUCGAUACUUGAGAACGGGUUAGAGUAGAUAACCAGAUAACGGGGCAGAAUCAAUAGGGGAUCCUGAGAUUCGGAUGAUAAAGCCAACAUGAUUGACAAGAAAAAGGAUUACCAGAUCCAGGUGAAAAAAGAGGUAGUCGCAUGAGAUCGCUUAGGACAAGCACUAGGAAGGUUACGAAGAUUCGGGAUAGGAUCUAUGGAAAGAAACAUGGCCUCGAUAGGGUUUGCGCAACUAGACACCAAACGAUUUUUUUUGACACAACAAGUGCACAAGGAGACUUGGGUUGGUCUAGCGGUCAAGUCAUGGGGUUCAAUAAGUUGUGCAGGUGUAAAUUCAAGGGUGAGACACACAAGGGUUAGAAAACACCAACACAAGCAUGUGAAUUUUUUUUAAAGAUUUUACUUGCUAACUACAAGGUUGUUUGGAGGGGGUCUUUUUAUUGGCAAAACAGGCAACAAUUUUUAUUAGCAAAAGGGUUGAACAAUUACAAUACCACCUAGAUAGCAAGACCAGAGAAACACAUAACACGACCUAACAAGACUUACCAAUCUGACACAAGGUAAGGCAUUCCGUAUAGUUCCUAACAUAGCAAUGCGUCAGAAUAUUCACAAGUUCUUAUUAUUGGAAUAAAGGUGAGAGAAGCAUGUUGGUGCAUAAGAGACAAUUAUAAUACGACAAUCAUGAUGCAUGAUCAUUCUAGUCGUCUUCUCAGACCUAACUACUUUUUUGGGUGCUUGCUACAGCAACCUUAAUAAUAGUAGUAGUAGCCUUUAUGGCCUAUAUAAAUAGCCACCUAGCUACCCAUCUAUUUUCCUAAGGCCUCGCGUCCUAGGUCUAGCCUUUUCGUCCUGAUAUCUAUCCAACAUUGGUUUCUAAGCAAGUUUUACUUUUGAAAAGUUGAUAUUCAUGACUUAUUGACUUCUCUGUAAUGGUAUUCGCUCUGAUACCAGCUGUGGCGGAACCACCCGAAUUAUUCCAACUUAAGUGCCUAAGUCCCGCCUUAGAGGCUAGACCACACUUAAAUAGGAAUAAACCGUGAGUCCCUCGGAUCUAGUCCGAUAAAGCCACUUAACCAGGAUCGAAUACCACUAGCUCACUCGAAGGUGAGGCACAGAGAAAUACAAUAAAGCAUAAUACCAUAAAUUUAAUAAGUAUCAGUAAUGAUUACAUUAUCGAAGUUCCAGAAAUAUUAACCAUAAAUUUUAAUGCAGCGGAAAUAACUAACGGAGAAAACCGAGUAACAUGGCGAAGCCUGGCCACGCUACUCCUCCUGGUCCUCUCCUGCGGAAGCAGUAACCCACUCGACUGUCUAUCCCGGUGGCGGGGAUGAAGGCCAAGUCACACCAUCAACCAAUCAUCCUAAGGAGUACAUGCAAAAAUUAUGCCACAAGCAAGGCUGAGUAUACUAAUACUCAGCUAGACUUACCCGGUGUGAGGAGUCUACUCCUCUACCUCUAGACAUGCACCUGUUUGGCUGAGGGGUUUGGUUUGCCAAAAGCACUAGCUGAGUCUAAAAUCAAGUUUUAACUUUUUCAAGUUUUAGUAAGAUCCUUUUUAAACUAGAUGUGUACCUAGCUAGUCAUACAUGGUAUCAAACACUUUAUCAAUCAACAUCUUUUGCCAGUCACCUCAUUUCCACUUAUUACUCAAUGUAGUAGCAUGGAUCAAGCAGUCUCAUUAGCUGCGAGAAGCAGACGAUUCGAAUCGAGUUUUAAACCUUGCAAGGUAAACCUAAACACACGACGUGGCGAGGCACUCUGUCCCCACACACAUCAACCGUCUCCAUCGAUUCCCCGUCAACAUAUCAGGGCUCACCGCCUUGGCGUACAAUGCCUCACUGACCCCAACUGCCGUCGUGCACUGAUCGCACUUGUACCCACCAUAACCAGAAUGGGAGACCAUGUCUCAGGUCGCGUGAGGGGUAAAGUCUGCGGGCAGGUUCACUCAGGUACUAGGCUUACCGAUUUACCAUAUUUCUCGGGAUAUGUUUAGUAUGUUCAAACGCUUGACACAUGGUACCACACCUUAAUCCUUAUUCCAAUUUCCGUCUCGGACGCAUCCCCAUGGACCGUCGUCAACAGACCAUCAUCAUUCUGAUAUAUAAUGGAUACAAUUAAUUCAUGACAUCGUGCGAGUGCUAGAAAAAUCACUCGACUUCUACCGAGAUCCCUAAUUAGUAAAGCAACUACUCGACCUAGCAUACUAGUAUCCAUCUCAAAAGGAAUCCUGAGUUAAUGCAUCUAGGGUUUCAGGUAACUCCUACACUUAAGUGCACAGUACAAGCCUACAAACAUUAAGUCCAGUAAAAUAACAUAUAUAAUGGUUAUGCAUAAGACCGGGGCUUGCCUUUUCUUUAACACUUAGAUAGUGUUUGCUGGGUGGCACUCGCUUGACGAGCAUCCACUGGUUAAGUCCAUUCUUCAGGUCGCCCACCAACUGUAUUUUGUGGUUGGCACCACGUCACUUGCACGAUCAUCAUCUCUCGGUCCUAAAUGAGAUGUAGGAUGCAUAUGUAUGAAUAUAAUGAAAAAUACCACAAGAUAUAUAAGGACACAGUAGCGAACUAACAUUAAAUUGGAAGACACCGUAAACAACCACAUGUUAGCAUCAUUUAUCUACAUGCUAUCGGCGUUCAACAUUAACACCAUUGAAAAUACAACAACAUUUUAUUUAUUUACGUAACACAACUAUGACAUCACAAGUACGCGCAUUUUAUUUAUUUUGAUACGGCUUUCCAUUAGUUCUUCUAGUGAUGAUACAAAAGCAUCCCAAACAACACAAGUUUCACAGAGGACCUAUGCAUCAUUGUCUAUGGAACUUCUAUAUCACAAUCGAUUAGAGAAAGAAACAUAUAAAACAUGACACACAUGCAUUAUUAAGCUUAUACGGUUGUUUCAUUCCGUUCGUUUUAAAACAUAACUUGAGGUACCUUCCGUAAACCGGGCAUAACUUUUCGCUCGGGUGUCCAAAAAAUCUGAAAUUUUUACAGGAGCUAGUUGACAUCAUUCUGAGGCCGGCCAAACUCACCUUCGGUCUGUUUGGUUUCGACAAAAUUGUCAAAAAAAAUUCAGGAAAAUAAAGAAAAAAAUUCAUCAAAGUUCUCGCACGCUUUUCAAAGAACUUCCUGAUUUUCUGUAGACCACAUCUGAUCUCUGUUUUAGGUGAAACUUCGUGUAGCUCCUAUUUUGUUGCUUCUUGUGCUGAGAAAAAUAUCAAAAAAAUCAUACAAAAAAGAAAAACAAAAUCACUUGUGAUUCCUACUAGUGGCCUCGCUAGUACAAUAUUUACGGUACUGCCAUUCUGCUAGUUCCAUUCGUCCUUUGCACUUGUGGCCAGCAAUAUAGUUUCGUGUUCUGCACUAUAAUUCAACUUUGCAUUAUUGUUUGAUUGUGCUAAUCAUUGACUUGAGUGCAGCCUACCCAGAACUCCACAUAUUUCUACGACGAGCAGACUUCUGUUUCUCCAGGCAAUCGCUCAUCCAAUCUUUCACCGGUUCCAUCUGUUGGUUGCAGUUCACCACUGUGGCUUGGUAAGAACGGAUAAGAAUUUGAUAACAGCACUAGUGUGAGCGCCUUGUGAGCAGUACACCCCUGUUUUUGUUUUGGUGAUUGCGCUAACUAUGGCAGGAGCACACGACACGGUGGAUGCCCAGUUGCUGGAAGUAAGGGGACAAGUUGAUGGACUUGCUGCUGACAUUAGGACGAUGCAUGAACGGCUUGAUUCAACGGUCACUUCGACGACCGAGCGUUUCAACCAGCUUGACCUUGCUCAAACGGCGACUCGCACCACACUCGACACCAUCCUGGCACGCCUUGAUGCGUUGACCACAAAGAUGGAGCAGGACUACGGUGGUGACACUGAGUGGGAUGAUGGAGAUCGCCAUGGUCGUGCACGCCGUGUGGUUCGUCAUCCCCCUAAUGACUUAUUUUCUAAGAUUAAAUUUAAAAUUCCACCUUUUAAUGGCAAAUAUGAUCCUGCUGCAUAUCUUGAUUGGGAGUUAGAGGUUGAACAAAAAUUUUCAUGCCAUGAUAUUGCUGCACAUUCUCAGGUUAAAGCUGCUAUUAGUGAAUUUACUGAUUUUGCUUUAAUUUGGUGGCGUGAGUUUAAAAUAAAACAUCCCACUACCAUUCCAACCACUUGGGAUCAGUUGAAAGCUGCGAUGCGACAUCGAUUUGUGCCUUCGUAUUAUGCUCGUGAUUUGCUUAAUAAAAUGCAGCGUUUUCAGCAAGGUUCUCAAUCUGUUGAGGACUAUUUCCAGGAGUUACAAAAAGGUAUGAUUCAUUGUGGGAUAUUGGAGGACAACGACGCUGCUAUGGCACGUUUUCGUGGUGGUUUAAACCGCGAAAUCCAAGAUAUACUUGAUUAUAAGGAAUAUUAUGAUAUGACUACUUUAUUUGAAUAUGCUUGCAAAGCUGAACGUGAAGUGCAGGGAUGCCGCUCGAAGCCAUAUUCUAACCCUUUUGCAGGACGAAGCUCGACAUCCACCUCAGCACCAGUUCCCCCUGCGCCAUCCACGUCCACCACUACUCCACGCGAGAAGACGACCAAACCAGCCAGCACUGCCCCACCCACAGGUCGUACACGGGAUAUUCAGUGUCAUCGCUGUAGAGGAUUUGGCCAUGUGAUUCGGGACUGCCCAAACAAGCGCACUUUGCUCAUUCGUGACGAUGGUGAGUACUCUUCCGCUAGUGAUUCUGAAGAAAUUGAACAUGCAUUACUUGCCACUGACCAUGCAGCUAAGGCGGAGGUACAUGUCAACCCGGGCGACGCUGAUAGGUAUGAAAGUCUUGUUGUGCAGCGUGUUCUCAGUACACAGGUCGUUUUGCCCGAGAAGAAUCAGCGACACACUCUGUUCCAUACAAAGGGUGUUGUGCAGGAGCGGUCAAUUCGCAUCAUUAUCGACAGCGGCAGUUGCAACAAUUUGGCGAGUACCAUGCUGGUCGAAAAGUUAUCGUUACCCACUCGUAAGCAUCCAAACCCAUAUCACAUUCAAUGGCUUAAUGAUGGUGGUAAAAUAAAAAUCACACGUUCCGUGCGCGUUCCUUUCUCCAUGGGUGCUGAUUCUGAUUUUGUUGAUUGUGAUGUUAUUCCCAUGGAAGCAUGCUCUUUGUUACUUGGUCGACCUUGGCAAUAUGAUACUGAUAGCUUGCAUCAUGGUCGUUCGAAUCAUUAUUCUUUCAUUUUUAAGGGUCAGAAAAUAAUUAUACAUCCAAUGACACCUGAACAAAUUGUUAAAGAUGAUCUUGCCCGAGCUGUUAUAACUGCUAAACAACUUGAUCCACCGCCCUCUGUUCCUUCUGAAAUCAAGUUGAAGGCUCCUGUUUUACUUGCUACACGUGCUGAUUUUGAUGAUCUACACGGUGCUCAUUUGCCAUGCUAUGCACUUAUAUGCUCUAGUGUCCUCAUUUCACUUGAUGAUGCACCAUCUUUGGCUAUUCCCCCUAUGGUUGCUAACCUUUUGCAGGAGUACGCUGAUGUCUUUCCCAAAGACUUACCACCGGGUCUCCCACCACUUCGUGGCAUUGAGCACCAGAUCGACCUCAUUCCCGGCGCACAGCUUCCGAACCGCGCACCGUACCGUACAAAUCCGGAUAAGACGAAGGAGAUUCAGUGCCAGGUACAGGCGUUGCUUGACAAGGGAUACAUUCGUGAGUCUCUUAGCCCUUGCUCUGUUCCUGUGUUACUUGUUCCCAAGAAAGAUGGGUCAUGGUGUAUGUGUGUAGACUGUCGUGCUAUUAAUAACAUCACUAUUCGUCAUCGAUAUCCUAUACCACGCCUUGAUGAUAUGCUAGAUGAGCUUAGUGGUGCCAUUAUUUUCACUAGAUUGAUUUGCGUAGUGGUUACCACCAGAUUAGAAUGAAACUGGGUGAUGAAUGGAAAACGGCUUUUAAAACGAAAUUUGGUUUAUAUGAAUGGUUGGUUAUGCCGUUUGGAUUGACUAAUGCUCCCAGCACUUUUAUGCGAGUGAUGAAUGAAGUUCUAAGGCCCUUCAUAGGAUUGUUUGUGGUUGUUUAUUUUGAUGAUAUCCUUAUUUACAGCAAAUCUAAGAAAGAGCAUUUGGAACAUUUAAGUGCUGUUUUUUAUGCAUUGCGUCCUGCCCAGUUAUUUGCUAACAUGAAAAAAUGCAUCUUUUGUACACGACGUGUCUCGUUUCUUGGUUAUGUUGUUACUCCACAGGGCAUUGAGGUGGAUAGCAGCAAGAUUGCUGCCAUUCGGGAGUGGCCUACACCGACGACGGUCACACAAAUUCGGAGCUUUCUUGGACUUGCCGGUUUCAACCGCAGAUUUUUCGUGAUUUUAGCUCCAUUGCAGCGCCUCUACAUGAGCUUACAAAGAAAGAUGUGUCAUUUGCUUGGAGUGAUUCACAGGAGGAAGCGUUCAGCACUUUGAAAGAUAAGUUAACCCAAGCUCCCCUAUUGCAAUUGCCUGAUUUUAAUAAAGUGUUUGAGCUUGAAUGCGAUGCUAGCGGUAUUGGGCUAGGUGCUGUUUUGUUACAAGAAGGAAAACCAGUUGCUUAUUUUAGUGAAAAAUUAAGCGGUGCUAGUCUGAAAUAUUCUACUUAUGAUAAGGAGCUUUACGCUUUAGUGCGCACUUUGCAUACAUGGCAGCACUAUCUUUGGCAUCGUGAGUUCAUAAUCCAUUCUGAUCAUGAGGCUUUAAAACAUAUUCGUACCCAAACAAAUCUGAACCGUCGUCAUGCUAAAUGGGUAGAAUUCAUUGAGUCCUUUCCUUACAUUAUUAAACACAAGAAUGGGAAGGACAAUGUUAUUGCUGAUGCUUUGUCUCGUCGCUAUACCAUGCUGUCAUAGUUAGAUUUUAAAAUCUUUGGUUUGCACACUGUGAAAGAUCAAUAUGUUGAUGAUGCUGAUUUUAAAGAUGCUUUCGGCCAUUGUAUUAAUGGGAAACCAUGGGGCAAAUUUCACAUACAGGAUGGGUUCCUGUUUUGCGCUAACAAGCUGUGUGUUCCAGCUAGCUCGGUUCGUCUUUUGUUGUUACAGGAAGCACAUGGAGGCGGUCUCAUGGGGCACUUUGGCGUCUACAAGACACAUGAGGUGUUGGCUGCCCACUUCUUUUGGCCUCGGAUGCGCGCUGAUGUUGAGCGCCUUGUUGCACGCUGCACUACUUGUCAGAAAGCUAAGUCACGGUUGAACAACCAUGGUUUGUAUAUGCCUUUGCCUGUUCCUACUUCCCCUUGGAUUGAUAUUUCGAUGGAUUUUGUUUUAGGAUUGCCUAGAACUAAGAAGGGGAGGGAUAGCAUUUUUGUGGUUGUUGAUCGAUUCUCCAAAAUGGCUCAUUUCAUACCUUGUCAUAAGACUGAUGAUGCUAGCAAUGUUGCUGAAUUGUUUUUUAGAGAGAUUAUUCGUUUGCACGGUAUUCCCAAUACAAUAGUCUUGGAUCGUGAUGCUAAGUUUUUCUGUCAUUUUUGGAGAUCUCUGUGGAAUAAAUUGGGAACUAAAUUGUUGUUUAGCACCACUUGUCACCCUCAGACUGAUGGUCAAACUGAGGUAGUUAAUCGAACUUUGUCUACCAUGCUUAGGGCUGUUUUAGACAAAAAUUUGAAACGUUGGGAGGAUUGCUUGCCUCAUGUUGAGUUUGCUUAUAAUCAUGCAACACAUUCUUCUACAAAGAUGUGCCCUUUUCAAAUUGUUUAUGGUUACAUUCCUAGGGCACCUAUUGCUUUGUUUUCGCUUGAUGCUGCGGACGCCCCACACAUAGAUGCUCUUGCACAUGUUGAACAAAUGAUUAAUCUCCAUGAACAAACUCAACAAAACAUUGCUGCUGCUAAUGCUAAAAUCAGAUUACUGGUAGUAAAGGCCGGAAACUAGUUACUUUUGAACCUGGUGAUAUGGUUUGGUUGCAUUUGAGAAAGGAUCGUUUUCCUACUUUGCGCCGUUAUAAAUUGAUGCCUCGUGCUGCUGGUCCUUUUAAGAUACUAACCAAGAUUAAUGAUAAUGCUUAUAUCCUUGACCUGCCUGCGGAGUUUGGUGUUUCCACUAGUUUUAAUGUUGCAGAUUUGAAACCGUAUGCGGGAGAAGAUGAGGAGUUGCCGUCGAGGACGACUUCAGUUCAAGAAGGGGAGGAUGAUGAGGACAUCAACACCAACACGAGCACAUCUACACCAGCAGCACCUUCUCCAGCCUAGGCACCAUCUUCCCCAGUCCAGGCGCCACCCCUUCCACCUGGGCCAGUGACUCGGGCCCGUGCAAGAGAAUUGAACUACAUCAUGCUGUUAAAGAACGAAGGCCCGGAAGAAUAGACGACCAGCCCAACUGCGGCCCAUAAUGGACGACCUAGGGUUGGCCGCCCCUAGGGGCUGCGCCCCCUCUCUAUUUAUCCAGGAGCUGCGCCUCCUUUAUUUUUCGAGUUUUGUUUUAGAUCUAGCUUUAGCUACCCCAAAACACGCACAAAUACGUGCUGUCCUCUGUGAUUCAGAACUCCACCUCGAGUGAUAUUCAGAUUGCUCGCAUCUUUUUCUUGUUUGUUCUUCGAUUGCGCACAGGAAACGAUCUUCGUGAUCAGGCCGAUCUCGCAGCAGCAAGGUCGGUAACCAUUGGGAGUUGGUUCAGCGAUUGCAUUGGCGCUUCGGGUUCGCUCGUCGUAGUCGGAUCGUGAGGGUCUACUUCCACCAAAUCGGAAUUAUCUCCACUCACCGAAAGAUCGGGCACUCCAGCUCUAUCAAUUAACAACUUAUUACUUUUACUAUAGCUGAACUUUCUCCACCACCUGAGCCCUAUGAUCCUGAAGUUGAUCUAGCAAUGAAGAUGGCACUGGAAACUAUAAGAAUUGCUGAAGAAGUUGUUGACGAAGCUGUCACCAAACUUCUGAACGAAGCUGCCGAAAUUUUUUUGAAGGAAGACUAGACUUUUGUGUAAUUAGAAAAUUUCAACAUAUGUGUGAUGUAAUGUGCAUACAAGUUAAACAUUGUAUAUCUAUUUGUAUUUUAAUGUAAUAUAUUUCUUUGCGAUGCAUGAAAUUUGCGUACAUACCAUUUUUGAGCCUUCGGCGAAAAAAUGCCUUCCCUUCUUUUCAUGCUUCGUAAAGAAAAGAGGCCCUCUAUAACAAAGUUGUUGUAUGAUAUUGUUGUCGACAAAAAAUUUGCUGAUAAGAUUGUAAUUGUCGAAGGUUUACUUCGUGCUCCGGCACACUUUCAUUCAUCAUAUAACUGCCGAAGGUUUGCUUCGUGCUUGAUUCUUGUUGUUGAUGCGACAUGAUGUAUUAUGUAAUGCUAUGCGGGAUGAUGCAAUGAUAUGGUGCAGCAUGAUGUUUAUGCCAAAGACACAUACCCACACGGAAACACUCAGACUCUGCAUCCCCUUAGGAACGACUUUGAAGUCUCUUCACCUUUUAUUCCAGUGGCAUUUAAGCUCUGCAUCCCCUUAGGAACGACUUUGUAGCUUCUUCACCUUCUAUUUCAGUGGCAUUUAAGCUCUGCAUCCCCUUAGGGACGACUUUGAAGCUUCUUCACCUUCUAUUUCGAUGGUAUUUUGGCUAUGCAUUCCCUUAGGAACGACUUUUGAGCUUCAAUACUUACUCUGCGCCCCCUUAGGAACGACUUUUGUAGCUUCGGAACUUACUCUGCGCUCCCUUAGGAAUGACUUUUGUAACAUCAAAACUUACUGCGCUUCCUUAGGAACGACUUUUAUAGCUUCGGAGUUUUGUUAAGAGGAAACAUUCCACUCGACGAUAUGAGUACAAUAUUAAGAAUUCAAUCCUUCGUGAAUUGUUUUUCAUACAAGAAAAAUAAAACGACAGAAAAGAUAAAGAUGCACCAGAGGUAGGAUAUUCUUCAGUAGAUGUGCUUGGAUUCAGGCACAGUGCUAUUGACUGUGCGAGCUUCAGACUCCUCCCGAAAAUUGUGUUGCUGUUGAGCGUGUUGGUGCCCUUCUAGCUGCUGGCUUCGGGCCAGAGUAGGUGCUAGCGGUGGUGGUGGUGGAAGCUGGGCCCAGGAAGCUUGAGAGUGGCUUGCCAAAGCGACAGAGGUCGUAGGCUGUUGAUUACCUACGUACUCUGGGACAUAGGGAGAAUAGCAUGAAGCGGUAUGUAGGACUUGCUUCGGCUGAUUCUGCCGUGCUUCAGCUUCGGCAAUCUCUUUCUGCUUCUGAAUCGUGACUUGGCACGUUCUUGUGGUGUGGCCUUUGUCUUCACCACAGAACAAGCAAAAAAGUCUCCUGGGCUGAUCUCCGUAUCUUCCUCCAAAUCUUCUGCCCCCUCUGCCUCUUGGAGCUGGUGGCCUGAAGGAGCUUUGUUGUGGCCCUGAUGAUUGGGAGCUGUGUUGUUGCCUUUGGGGUUGACUUCCUCUAUCAUCACUUGGGUUGGCAUUAUGGAUUGACCUGACGUGCCUGGGGUGAAUUCUUCCUCCGAAGCCCCUAGCCAUCUCAGAAAACAUGUAUGCUUCCUCCCUUCCUUUGGCGGAAAUCAUUAUCAGCCCGGAUGUACUCAUCCAUCUUUUGAAGGAGCUUCUCCAGGGUUUGUGGGGGCUUCCUGGCAAAAUAUUGAGCUGUAGGUCCUGGCCGAAGCCCCUUGAUCAUGGCCUUAAUGACAAUUUAAUUGGGCACUGUAGUCGCUUGUGCUCUCAGACGCAAGAACCUUCGGACAUACGCUUGAAGGUACUCCUCAUGGUCUUGCGUGCAUUGAAACAAAGCCUGAGCAGUGACAGGCUUCGUCUGAAAGCCUUAGAAACUAGUAACUAGCAUAUCCUUGAGCUUCAGCCAUGAUGUGAUUGUCCCUGGCCGAAGAGAAGAGUACCAGGUUUGGGCUACGCUUUUGACUGCCAUGACGAAGGAUUUCGCCAUGACCGCAGUAUUGCCCCCAUAUGAAGAUAUGUUGUAGCUCAUCAGGAAUUGCUUCGGAUCUGAGUGCCCAUCAUACAUAGGAAGCUGAGGUGGCUUGCAUGAUGGGGGCCAUGGAGUAGCCUACAAUUCUGCUGCCAAAGGAGAAACAUCAUCGAAAGCAAAAUUGUCAUGAUGAAGAUUACCAUACCAUUCAUCAUCAUUGAAUGAAUUCUCUUGACGAAGCUCCCUGUGUUGGGGCCUUCAGUCUUGGUCAUCUUGGGUGAGGUGACGCAUUUCUUCGGCGGCUUCAUCAAUCUUCCUCUGGAGAUCGGCGAGCCAAAGCAUUUUCUCUCUCUUCUUUUGAACUUGUUGAUGGAUAGCUUCGUGGUCCCUGAUUUCUUGGUCCAGUUCCUCCUCCUGAGGUGUUGGGCGGGUAGCCUUCCUCUUCUGGCUCCUAGCUUCACUUAGCGUCUCCUGAUUAACGUCCAGUGGCUGCAGUGCAGCCCCUGGCGCGGUUGUCUUCUUCGGCGGCAUGACGAAAGUCGAUGCUUGCCGAAGGUGGUCAGAUGAGUUCACCGGAGGUGGGCGCCAAUGUUGGUCCUUAAUCUCAAAUGCUAUACACCAAGAUCAAAGCAACACAAUUGUUAACAAUUAAAGACCUUCGUCCUUCGAAGCAUUAUCUCCCCUAGGAUAUAAUGAUCUUCAUACGAAGGUCAUGAAGGACAUACCUUCAUCAUUUCAGUGAGCAAAGAUGUAAACAGAGACAUAUGAAACAUAAAAAGAAUAUAAACAAUCAUAUCAAAUCAUUAGAUUAUUUAUAUUCUUAAUUUAUAGAUAUGAAUAAACAUCAAUAAUGUUUACAUCACAUUUGUACCUUCGGCUAGACGGAAGGUGAAAAGGCAAGAAUGACGUGAAAGUGAUUACAAGUUAGCGUGAACAGUACGGUGUUACUGUUCAUCUAUUUAUAGGCACAGGAUGCAGCCUGGACAAAAUUACAUUCAUGCCCUUGACAUUUACUGUUGACUGUUAGGCAAUCUAUUGACGACUAAGCAGUCUUUUCUCCUUUAGGUCGGUUUCUCCUUUCACCAUCGUCGACUUGCCAAGCCAAAGCUUCUUCAGCCACAACUUCGGAGCUGGCUUGUCCUUCCUUCAGACCACACCUUCAUACUAUGCACAUCUUCAUCUCAAAGUCCAAGCCUCCUGUAACGGUCUGAUAAAAACAUGUUAGUUAGAUUUUGAGGACCUUCGGAAGAGGAAGGCCCCCCAACAUACCCAAACAAUAGAAUCAAAUCAACCUCAAUUGUUUAAUAUACAGACACAUAAUCAGUCAUCAUCUGUCUUCAGUCAAAUGAAGUUGACUCGCGAAAAUCUCAAAGCAACAGGUGCUUCAUUCUACUGUAAAAAUGAAGGACAUAUCAACCAGUAAUGCCACAAGAAGCGUCUAUACCAACUUGAGAAGAGGGACAUGAAACAACGAGUUCCCUAAGUUUGGAAGUGAGAGACUGCUUUCGAUUUUUUUCGAACAACAAGUCGAACCCAAUGAACAAUUCCAUUCAAAGGAAUGUUCUAGAGGGGGCCCUUUUCCGCAAUAUUCGCGAUAUUGAACAAAAUGGAAGAAAUUCUUCACGAUUUCUAGAGUUCCGGGAUUACUUCACUGAUAUCAAUUUUUUCCUAAGCACGGCCUCUACUCUAGGUUAGUUCAAAGUGUAGUACAACGAACUAUCGAUACACCGAAAACAAGUAAAGAUGGGCACAUAAAAUGAAGACAUCGAGUCCAUUGUGAACCAAUAACCUACAAAUAAUCAUGUAUCUUCUUUAUUUUCUUGCUAGCCUUCCCUAAUCUCGAGGACUAGAUUCUUUUUAGGGGGUAGAUUUUGUAACACCCUAAAUCCAAUAAUUAAAAGCAACUCAGUUUGAAUUAUUAAUUUCCAAAAGAAAGGAGAAAUAUUUACGUUUUGCAAUAAUGAAUUUGGUGAUAGAAACAAAAUAAACAAUUCAAAAAAUAGAAAUUUAAAAAUGUUUGAUGCAUUCAUCUAUAAAUAUAUAUUUUGUUCGAUGUAUCCAGUUUUUUAAAUUUAAGUUAGUGUGAAAAACUUAUUUUAGAAAAUAAUAAUGAGUUUUAAAAAUAUUGUUUAGGAAUAUUGGUAGGUUUUGUAACAACUCAAAUCCGUCAGCUAAAACAAAAUUAAUCCUAGUAGUUAAAUCCAAUAGAGAGGAAAAGUUAUUUUCAGACAAAAAGAAUAUUGGUACAAAAGAUAACUAAUAUUUUGAGUAAAAUUAAGUUUAACUAAGUGAUUGAUACAUUCAAUUUUAGAGCGUGAUUUUUAAUUGUUAAUGUAUUGCAAAGAUUUUAUUGUUUAUUAUUGUUUAUUCUCUAUUGCAAGACCUGAUUAUUUAAAAAAUGGACUUUUGCCUAAAAAUAAACAUAUGGUAUUUUAAUUAUGAAAUAUUAGUAUGGGAAUUAUUAUGAUUUAUAAAAUAUUUAAAAAUAUUUUUAAUGAAUAACCUACUUGAAAAUAUGAAAUUCGAAAUUUUAAUAAAAUGAAUAAAAACAAAAAAAACACGUGAGACGUUGGCCCAUCUGGCCGCUUGACCGACCGAACUGGCCAAUCAGCCCAUAGCCAUGCAUCCCUCUCCCUCUCCCUCUCUUGAACCUAUGACACGUGGGCCCCACCAGGUCUUCUUGUCCUCCAUUCCUGUUCGAUGGAAACACCGCCAGCCGUUUCUUUGUGUGCAACGCGUUCGACUCUGCGUCGCCUGCUUGGCUCAUGCCCUGCCUUGAGGAGGGCAGCGCUCGCGCCAACCAACCUGCUGCAUCGCCUCCAAAACAGAACGUCACGUCGUUUCCUUCCCUUCCCAUUACUCCGACUGUUUCCGUGGCUCGCCGUUAAUGGCGCUACCGGUCCCUGCUCCUUCCUCUCCCCUCGGCACCAUCUCAUCUCCUCUCCUCUCCUCCCCGGCUCUUAUAAGCCAUGCCCCCGACAUCCAUCUCUGUUCCCCCUGCUCGCCCUCUCUCUGCCUUCUCUCGCCCUCCCCCACGCCCAGCUGUUUUCGUGCUACUAUACGCCAUUUGCUGCUUUUCGUUGACAUUCGACAUAGUUCACCGGAGUCCCCAAGCCGGAGCUCGCCUAGGGGCCUUGCUGCUGUUUUCGCUGAUCUCCGGAAACCCUCUGGUCGUUUUCCACCCAUGUCGUGGUGCUGUUGUCGCGCUUGCCUAAGCUCACAAUCGCUGUAACCCCGCCAGCGCUGCGCCGAUCUCUCGCCGCCGUUGAAGAGCCACUGUGCUCCCCUUCUCACGCAGCUUCACACUCUCAGUCCACCGCCUCGCUGAUUUCUCUGUCGCUGUUUGCUUUGCCUCCGAGCUCCCUGCUGCACGCCGCCACAACUCCCAUGCCUCGCACGCAGCUGCACCAUCACCCGUCGUCGACUCCUCAUCCCCGCGCCCGUGCAUCGUCGCCCGUGCAUCGUCGCCAGGGCGCCCUACUAUGCCACUCGCCAGAAUUCCAAGCACCGUCCAGCACCUCGCCACCGUUUCCCCCGCGCUAGUGACUUGCCCCUCGCCAAAAGUUGUCACACCCGGUUUUGGAAGGUAAACCGAAUGCGAACCAUGUAUGUGCCAGGAUCAGAACUCACGUACACAACGAUUACAUAAUUGGACAUCAUCACACAAUGCUCGAAUUAAAUAACGGAAGGAUACUUAAUUACAUCAAGAUGUCUGAGACAUCCACAGAGUCGAACACAUAUCCAUAAUGUUUAACGUUAACACCAAAGUGCGGAGAAACGAAUAAAAGUAAUCCCUCCAAGAAGAAAUACAAGAGGCACUCCCUCCAAGAGGAAAUACAAGAGAUCAGAUUUAUAACCAUCAUUGCUAAUCGUCAUCAUAAAAGUAAUCAAAGUUCUUCUAAUCAAAGAGGAUCCCAAGGUUGCUCUUAACCGUGAGCACGACUGAUAUACCAGUCUCUAACACUCUGCAGACGUUGCACACUUUACCCACAAGCCGUGAUUCCCAUUCUGCCCGGGGUUCUAGCCUCCCCAUUGAUCACUACCAAGGUGACAUAGCAGGGUCUCACUAUGUAGCUUUUACAAAGAUUUCCCGGAGGCCAUAGUCGCCUGUUAGGUUUCUCCAGUUUGAUAAACACAGUACAUCUCUCCAGAGGAAGGGUGACUAACAAAACCAAAUCAAAGAACCUCUGCAACCAGCCUCGGCAGAGCAAGUAUUGUGCCCGGACCCCAUUGACGGCCCUACGGCGAAGCCAACUACUCCUUUGGUUCCUCUAAUUAAUCAUAGACUAUGAAUAUGUAUCUAAAGUCAUUCAGUAGGGUAAUCGUAAAUCUUCACACAUUUUGCGAUUGCAAGCUUUGGUGCAUCACCGCCCCUAUUUUGAGGGUUCUCCACGGGUAAGUGCCAUGCCACCUUAAUCACAUCUCGUGAUUAGGGUGGUGUUGUUCUUAUUCAUUAAAUCUCUGUGUUUUCUUGUACUGAAGCAAUUUUAUGGCGAGAUGCACUAGUUAUCGUAGUAUAUGUAAGAGUCUGUCGACGAGAUUAUUAUGUAUGUAUGUUAUCUGCUAAUCAUGAGUGUUUCACCGCUUUCGCGUGAGUUACCAAGCGCGAGGGUAGUGCAUCGCUUUGUCUCUGCUUGGUGGACCCGGUCUAUCACGAUUAGUCUUUGGUUUAUCAACGAUCUGUUUAAUAUCCACAUGAUAAGGCCUUGCAUUAAGGUUUGAUGUUCUGGCGACGUGCCAGACACAUUGCAUUGGUUUGAGCAGGGAUUUUUCUAGGAGUCAGCUUGUGCCGAUUCUUAGGCCUCUAAUCUAGCUGGCACUCUGAUGCCUGUCACGAUCGCUAGGCCUAAUACAUGUAGGAUGUUCCGGCUGUGUGGUGAAACUUUAAUCGUUGUGGGUUGGACCUGCCUAGUGUGGACGAAGGAGGGUUUCAAGGGCCAUUGACUCCGCGCGCCACUGAGGCAUGGAUUCAGUUUGAGCCUGGGGAGAGCGAUCAGCUCCUUACAACCGAUAUUACUCGGGGAGCCGAACAUGACUCUGACUGGCGUUUGCACAUGUUUCUGUAUGCAGGGAACCUAUUCGGAGCACGUCAACACCAUCCUGAUCGGGUAUAGGUUAGGUGGCACGCCAGGGGAACCUUGAAGCCCUGCCAUACGCUAGGAUCUAGGUCAUGCCAUACGCUAGGAUCUGGGCCGUUGACCGAAGGACCAGGCCCGCCAGCCAUCCCGGGAGCCUCUCGGCUCCUUGUGUUGCCUGUCGUCUCUCGCUGGUGGGUUUCAGAUGGCAAUAGUAAGACCUAUUUUGGUUAUAGCAUCCGAUUUGGGAUUAGUGCUUGUUAUGGCAUCUAGUAAGAAUAUUUUGGUUAUGGCAUCUAGUUGUGUAAGAAUAUUUCUAGACCAGUGCUUGUAAGACAAUUGUUAUUGUAAUACUAUUUUAGAUGACAUAUGCUAUUUGGUUAUGGCAUCUAGUUCAACCAUUUUUGGGUUAUGGCACAGUUCACCCACCUAUUUAACAUGUGCAUUCCUCUUUUCUAUAAGUCUAAUGAAAGUCUGAUUCAACAUUAUGCUCCUAGGUUUAUAAGGCUAUUAAGCCCUCAGAUGAGAAGGCGCUCUAGCCAUUAGAACCAGUUCUUUACAAAGGCUAUUCAACCCUUCUUUUUUCUCCGAGUCUGAUGGAAGUGAACCUAUUCUUUUUAGUAAGACCAAUAGCGAGACCAACAGUAGAAGAAACAUGUUCUUUCAUGAGCAACAAGACCCACAAUAGAGGAGCAACAAUCGACAAUAACAAGAUCUCUGAAUUUCAUAUAACAUCAUCAUGUCACAAUAACACUUCAUUAAAGAUAAGCACUUAAUAGCCAUAGUACACUUCAUAUCACAACAACAUAUUACAAUAGCACUUAACAACCAUAAUAAGACUUUAUACUACAAUAGCAACAUUUCUAGAUUAAUAGAUACAUUCAUGUCACAAUCUAGCACCAAUGCUUAUUUGUCAACUGCAAUAGUACGAGAACCACAACCAAAAUAAGAAUUUUAUCACAACAACUAAGUAUCUUGUUAAUUCCUCGAUUCGUGUUUGAAAUGGCUUUAACUAAUCUAUGUUGCAUUAUGAAAUCAGAUCCUUGUUCUUCUUCUUUACCUGGAUGUCCAGCAAAAAUCCUCUUGUAUUUCUCCUAAUAAAAAACAUGCAAGAUCCUCUAGCCUGCAAAAGUGCAUAGUUUACCAAAAGCACAAAUUGCAAUAAAAAUAAUUAAUUUACACAUAAUUACCCCAUUGAAAUUAGGAUAUUUGUAGAUAGUCUACCAUGGUUCCAUUCGUUCCCACAAAUCACUCCUAUAAUCUGCAAAUUACAUUGAGAACAUUGCACAAGAGGCAUGAAUACAUGAUUGCCUGUCGUUCUCGACCAGGUUGACCUGGCAUCCAUGUCGAUUCCUUUGAUGGUGCCUACAUGCAAAGGAAUCCGUCAGGAGACAAUGAAUGAGUUGAAACUGCACAAAUGGAACAUAAUGUAGAGAUGCUAAGUAAUAUGAAGAACAAAAUGUUUCCCUACUUGUGGUGCCAUUGGUUAAUUUUGUUGACCUAAUGAUGCUUUGGUCUAGCCAAUCUAUGUGAAGAUGCGGUUCAAAUAUAGAAUUUGAAGUUCUUUUCUUUGUUAAAUUUAGUCAAGCUUAGGAUAGUUUGACUAAAAUCAAUCUUAGAACACCAAGUUUUUUGAGACUAAAGGAGUAGAAAGUAUCUCUUUUUUAGUUCCACUAGUGCUAGUAGGACUCUAAUUAUGACUAGUGUUGACAGCAAAAGGAACUAGAUAGGAAUAAUAGCUAAGACCAAAUACAAGCUGCAGAACAAGUACAAGCAACUCUAGGGCGCAUGAUCAUGACAACAACCACCAAGCUAGUGAUAGCUGCAUGGUUUAAAAAGCUUCACUAACAACACUCACAUAAGCACUAUCUGGAUUUCACAAAUGGAACUCAUCAGCAUCGGGAGAGAUGUUGUAGGAUUUCACUAAGAGUAGAUUCAACCACCUAGAGCAGAUUUGAUCGAGACGAUGAAGAGUAUUUCACUCAACAGAUUCAGCCAAGGCGGUUCGACUCAGGACCGGCUUUGGCCUAAGGCCCAAGCACUGAGGGUCCUAAAAAAAUUCCUAUAAAUAUGAUGAGUAAAAAAUCCAAUCUCAGAGACGCUAUUUGAAUAAAUUAAAGGAAUCAUCUUGUAUUUUAAAAAGCAUAAAGAUAAAGGUUUUAGUCAGUGUUGAAAUCACAGAAGACAUGGAUGUAGAGCCAAUGUUUCCUAAAAACCAUCAAGGUAAAAGAAAGAGAUACUUUAAUGACGAAAAUGAUAAGAUGAGGAUGAAACUGAUACACCCAGCCCAGGUGGGGUUGGCCGAGGCCCAACAAAUUAGGGUUGCCCGGAGCCCAACAGUUCAUUAAGCACACCCAACUCAGGGAAAGGCCCAAUCACCCCAAA
RNAcentral lists this long non-coding RNA (43102 nucleotides) under Zea mays. RNAcentral's name for it is "long non-coding RNA (ZMAY_LNC003368)". The record is from RNAcentral. Lineage: Eukaryota; Viridiplantae; Streptophyta; Magnoliopsida; Poales; Poaceae.